Molecule: ribosomal RNA, 497 nt
Filed under: uncultured bacterium
Lineage: Bacteria
Description: partial 16S ribosomal RNA
Rfam family: Bacterial small subunit ribosomal RNA
Source: RNAcentral
GAUGAACGCUGGCGGCGUGCCUAAUACAUGCAAGUCGAGCGAACAGACGAGGAGCUUGCUCCUCUGACGUUAGCGGCGGACGGGUGAGUAACACGUGGAUAACCUACCUAUAAGACUGGGAUAACUUCGGGAAACCGGAGCUAAUACCGGAUAAUAUAUUGAACCGCAUGGGGCAAUAGUGAAAGACGGUUUUGCUGUCACUUAUAGAUGGAUCCGCGCCGCAUGAGCUAGUUGGUAAGGUAACGGCUUACCAAGGCGACGAUGCGUAGCCGACCUGAGAGGGUGAUCGGCCACACUGGAACUGAGACACGGUCCAGACUCCUACGGGAGGCAGCAGUAGGGAAUCUUCCGCAAUGGGCGAAAGCCUGACGGAGCAACGCCGCGUGAGUGAUGAAGGUCUUCGGAUCGUAAAACUCUGUUAUUAGGGAAGAACAAAUGUGUAAGUAACUAUGCACGUCUUGACGGUACCUAAUCAGAAAGCCACGGCUAACUACGUG